CCUACGGGAGGCAGCAGUGAGGAAUAUUGGACAAUGGGCGCAAGCCUGAUCCAGCCAUGCCGCGUGCAGGAAGACGGUCCUAUGGAUUGUAAACUGCUUUUAUACAGGAAGAAACACCUCUACGUGUAGAGACUUGACGGUACUGUAUGAAUAAGCAUCGGCUAACUCCGUGCCAGCAGCCGCGGUAAUACGGAGGAUGCAAGCGUUAUCCGGAAUCAUUGGGUUUAAAGGGUCCGUAGGCGGUUUAAUAAGUCAGUGGUGAAAGCCCAUCGCUCAACGAUGGAACGGCCAUUGAUACUGUUAAACUUGAAUUAUUAGGAAGUAACUAGAAUAUGUAGUGUAGCGGUGAAAUGCUUAGAGAUUACAUGGAAUACCAAUUGCGAAGGCAGGUUACUACUAAUAUAUUGACGCUGAUGGACGAAAGCGUGGGGAGCGAACAGGAUUAGAUACCCUGGUAGUCCACGCCGUAAACGAUGGAUACUAGCUGUUCGGAGCAAUCUGAGUGGNGUAGAGAAGAGAUAAGUAUACCACCGUCGGGAGGUACGGUUCGCGAGAAGAGAAACGUUAAAGUUAAGUAAGUUAGUACGGACGUGAGACGUACGACCGACGGACGACGACGAGGGGAGGAGGAG
RNAcentral lists this ribosomal RNA (632 nucleotides) under uncultured bacterium. RNAcentral describes it as "bacterial SSU rRNA". The stretch from base 1 to 532 matches the Rfam family "Bacterial small subunit ribosomal RNA", at positions 338 to 873 of the family's 1533-position model. The record is from RNAcentral.